Molecule: ribosomal RNA, 271 nt
Filed under: uncultured prokaryote
Description: partial 16S ribosomal RNA
Rfam family: Bacterial small subunit ribosomal RNA
Source: RNAcentral
GACGAACCGUCCGAACGUUAUCCGGAAUUACUGGGCUUAAAGGGUGCGUAGGCGGUGCUGUAAGUCGGGUGUGAAAUCCCACAGCUCAACUGUGGAACUGCGCCCGAUACUGCAGUGCUAGAGGGAGACAGAGGUAAGCGGAACUGAUGGUGGAGCGGUGAAAUGCGUUGAUAUCAUCAGGAACACCGGUGGCGAAAGCGGCUUACUGGGUCUCUUCUGACGCUGAGGCACGAAAGCUAGGGUAGCGAACGGGAUUAGAUACCCCGGUAGU